This 78-nucleotide transfer RNA is filed under the name Flavobacteriales bacterium. RNAcentral describes it as "tRNA-Ile". It matches the Rfam family "tRNA". Rfam says of the family: Transfer RNA (tRNA) molecules are approximately 80 nucleotides in length. Their secondary structure includes four short double-helical elements and three loops (D, anti-codon, and T loops). Further hydrogen bonds mediate the characteristic L-shaped molecular structure. tRNAs have two regions of fundamental functional importance: the anti-codon, which is responsible for specific mRNA codon recognition, and the 3' end, to which the tRNAs corresponding amino acid is attached (by aminoacyl-tRNA synthetases). tRNAs cope with the degeneracy of the genetic code in two manners: having more than one tRNA (with a specific anti-codon) for a particular amino acid; and 'wobble' base-pairing, i.e. permitting non-standard base-pairing at the 3rd anti-codon position. Lineage: Bacteria; Pseudomonadati; Bacteroidota; Flavobacteriia; Flavobacteriales. The record is from RNAcentral.
GCGUCGGUAGCUCAGACGGUGACGAGCGCCAGUCUUAUAAACUGGAGGGCGUGGGUUCAAAUCCCACUCGGCGUACUA